Molecule: non-coding RNA, 1171 nt
Organism: Hydra vulgaris (swiftwater hydra)
Lineage: Eukaryota; Metazoa; Cnidaria; Hydrozoa; Anthoathecata; Hydridae
Source: RefSeq, a predicted model, not a curated record
ACAUUUGUAAAACUCUGGCAAUUUAUUUUACUUUUUGACUAUCUUUAUAAAUUUUGGCAAAUUUUGUCUUGUCUUUGAGAUGACACAACCAGGGUCAUCGAGAGCCUCUGCGCCGCCCUAGACAAAUUUCCUGAAUGGCACCCCAUAUUUCUGUCUUUUCAUGUUAUCAGUGAAAGACUCUUUUUUUUUUAAGUUCCCUUAUUUUUUUUGCGCCCCUAGAACAUCUGCCACCUGGGACAAACUGCCCCUUUGUCCCCCCCUCCUUGUUGUGUUGUGUCCAGUGCCUUGGCGGCACAACACAAUAAAUACAUUUUGCAAUAACAAAUCACUAAUAAUGUUCUUAAAAAGAAAUGAACAUUUUCUAACAUGAUUCUUUCAUACUUAAGACAAUGUAAAACUUGGAACAUUUGAUUACAUAUUAUAUAUGACAACAAGGACAUUCAUAAGACUAAUUUCCACAGUUCCUUUUGAUUCAGAUGAAGUUGCUCGCCUGAGGACUUUUUUGAGUACAUCUACUUUGAACUUUUUAAACAAUGUCUUGACAAAUGACAUUUUGAAAAAGGAGCUAAAAAUAGUAUUCUUCAGUAUUGCCAAGUUGUUCUUCCUUCCGACAAUGACCCAUGGGUUCUAAGAGAGUUUUUUCUAAACUUAAGUCAACGCUUCUUUUUAAUUUUCCUAACUGCUUGGAACACUGGGAUUCACUUCUAAGACAGGUUUCAAACAUAAUUAGGCAAUAACAUUGGACUAAAAGUCAUUCGACUUCAAAUGGAACAGCAAUUAGACAUUUCAACAGGUUUCAAAACCUAAAAAGUCUCCAUAUAUUAUGGAUUCAAUAUCUAAAGCUGAACCAGUGCAAGAGCAGCUUCUUCUUGAAGUUGAGGUAAAAUUUAUGUUGAGCUCCAAAAGACUUCAGGGAAGGAGGAGAAAGGGGCGCUUGGAGAGGACAUUUGAGCUUGAAAAAGAUCUAUCUUCUAAUACAGCUUAAGGACUCUCAGUGGCUGGUAACGGCUAGUAACCCCUGCAAAUUUUGUUUGUUUAGCUUAGGUAGAGUUUGUAAAAAGCUCUGUUUUUAGCAGGGGCUUGGUCACUUACUACUUGAUAUAUUUUACUAAUUAUUAUAUACUUUUUUUUUUCUAAUUACUUUUUUUUACGAUUAAAAAUACAUUACAAA